Molecule: ribosomal RNA, 564 nt
Filed under: uncultured bacterium
Lineage: Bacteria
Description: bacterial SSU rRNA
Rfam family: Bacterial small subunit ribosomal RNA
Source: RNAcentral
CCUACGGGAGGCAGCAGUGGGGAAUUUUCCGCAAUGGGCGAAAGCCUGACGGAGCAACGCCGCGUGAGGGAUGAANGCCUCUGGGCUGUAAACCUCUUUUCUCANGGAANAANAUCUGACGGUACUUGAGGAAUAAGCCACGGCUAAUUCCGUGCCAGCAGCCGCGGUAAUACGGGAGUGGCAAGCGUUAUCCGGAAUUAUUGGGCGUAAAGCGUCCGCAGGCGGCCCUUCAAGUCUGCUGUUAAAACGUGGAGCUUAACUCCUUCAUGGCAGUGGAAACUGUUGGGCUUGAGUGUGGUAGGGGCAGAGGGAAUUCCCGGUGUAGCGGUGAAAUGCGUAGAUAUCGGGAAGAACACCAGUGGCGAAGGCGCUCUGCUGGGCCAUAACUGACGCUCAUGGACGAAAGCCAGGGGAGCGAAAGGGAUUAGAUACCCCUGUAGUCCUGGCCGUAAACGAUGAACACUAGGUGUCGGGGGAAUCGACCCCCUCGGUGUCGUAGCCAACGCGUUAAGUGUUCCGCCUGGGGAGUACGCACGCAAGUGUGAAACUCAAAGGAAUUGACGG